UACUAUUACGCUAUGUUCCUACAAGAAU
RNAcentral lists this small RNA (28 nucleotides) under Bombyx mori (domestic silkworm). RNAcentral describes it as "ovarian small RNA-21342". The record is from RNAcentral. Lineage: Eukaryota; Metazoa; Arthropoda; Insecta; Lepidoptera; Bombycidae.